Molecule: ribosomal RNA, 428 nt
Filed under: uncultured bacterium
Lineage: Bacteria
Description: bacterial SSU rRNA
Rfam family: Bacterial small subunit ribosomal RNA
Source: RNAcentral
UGGGGAAUUUUGGACAAUGGGCGCAAGCCUGAUCCAGCCAUUCCGCGUGCAGGACGAAGGCCUUCGGGUUGUAAACUGCUUUUGUACGGAACGAAAAGGCUCUGGCUAAUACCUGGGGCUCAUGACGGUACCGUAAGAAUAAGCACCGGCUAACUACGUGCCAGCAGCCGCGGUAAUACGUAGGGUGCGAGCGUUAAUCGGAAUUACUGGGCGUAAAGCGUGCGCAGGCGGUUAUGUAAGACAGAGGUGAAAUCCCCGGGCUCAACCUGGGAACUGCCUUUGUGACUGCAUAGCUGGAGUACGGCAGAGGGGGAUGGAAUUCCGCGUGUAGCAGUGAAAUGCGUAGAUAUCAGGAGGAACACCGGCGGUGUAGACGGCUUGCUAGACCAUAACUGACGCUGAGGCACGAAAGCGUGGGUAGCAAACAG